CAGGGGUGCAGCUUUGGAAAACCCUCAGGGGUUGGAGUUUUUAUUCGAAAAUAUUUUUUAUUUGUUCGUCCCCAAGUGCGGUGGAGGGCGACGACCCACCUACUUGGAUGCCUGGGAUCUAAGUGGAUGAUGUCCCUACUGUCCCAGAGGUUUAUGUUCCCCAAGUGUGGUGGAGGGCGACGACCCACCUACUUGGAUGCCUAGGAUCUAAGUGGAUGAUGUCCCUACUGUCCUAGAUGCCUGGGAUUUAAGUAGAUGAUUUCCCUACUGUCCCGGAGGUUGAUCGUCCCCAAGUGCGGUGGAGGGCGACGACCCACCUACUUGGAUGCCUAGGAUUUAAGUGGAUGAUGUCCCUACUGUCCUAGAUGCCUGGGAUUUAAGUAGAUGAUUUCCCUACUGUCCCGGAGGUUGAUCGUCCCCAAGUGCGGUGGAGGGCGACGACCCACCUACUUGGAUGCCUAGGAUUUAAGUGGAUGAUGUCCCUACUGUCCUAGAUGCCUGGGAUUUAAGUAGAUGAUUUCCCUACUGUCCCGGAGGUUGUUCGUCCCCAAGUGCGGUGGAGGGCGACGACCCACCUACUUGGAUGCCUAGGAUUUAAGUGGAUGAUGUCCCUACUGUCCUAGAUGCCUGGGAUUUAAGUAGAUGAUUUCCCUACUGUCCCGGAGGUUGUUCGUCCCCAAGUGCGGUGGAGGGCGACGACCCACCUACUUGGAUGCCUAGGAUUUAAGUGGAUGAUGUCCCUACUGUCCUAGAUGCCUGGGAUUUAAGUAGAUGAUUUCCCUACUGUCCCGGAGGUUGUUCGUCCCCAAGUGCGGUGGAGGGCGACGACCCACCUACUUGGAUGCCUAGGAUUUAAGUGGAUGAUGUCCCUACUGUCCUAGAUGCCUGGGAUUUAAGUAGAUGAUUUCCCUACUGUCCCGGAGGUUGUUCGUCCCCAAGUGCGGUGGAGGGCGACGACCCACCUACUUGGAUGCCUAGGAUCUAAGUGGAUGAUGUCCCUACUGUCCUAGAUGCCUGGGAUUUAAGUAGAUGAUUUCCCUACUGUCCCGGAGGUUGUUCGUCCCCAAGUGCGGUGGAGGGCGACGACCCACCUACUUGGAUGCCUAGGAUCUAAGUGGAUGAUGUCCCUACUGUCCUAGAUGCCUGGGAUUUAAGUAGAUGAUUUCCCUACUGUCCCGGAGGUUGUUCGUCCCCAAGUGCGGUGGAGGGCGACGACCCACCUACUUGGAUGCCUGGGAUCUAAGUGGAUGAUGUCCCUACUGUCCCAGAGGUUUAUGUUCCCCAAGUGUGGUGGAGGGCGACGACCCACCUACUUGGAUGCCUGGAAUCUAAGUGGAUGAUUUCCCUACUGUUCCAGAGGUUGUUCGUCCCCAAGUGCGGUGGAGGGCGACGACCCACUUACUUGGAUGCCUGGGAUCUAAGUGGAUGAUGUCCCUACUGUCCCAGAGGUUUAUGUUUCCCCCAAGUGUGGUGGAUGGCGGCGACCCACCUACUUGGAUGCCUGGAAUCUAAGUGGAUGAUUUCCCUACUGUUCCAGAGGUUCGUUUUUCCCCAAGUGUGGUGAGGGCAACGACCCACCUACUUGGAUGCCUGGAAUCUAAGUGGAUGAUUUCCCUACUGUUCCAGAGGUUGUUUUUCCCCAAGUGUGGUGGAGGGCAACAACCCACCUAGUUGGAUGCCUAGGAUCUAAGUGGAUGAUGUCCCUACUGUCCUAGAUGCCUGGGAUUUAAGUAGAUGAUUUCCCUACUGUCCCGGAGGUUGAUCGUCCCCAAGUGCGGUGGAGGGCGACGACCCACCUACUUGGAUGCCUAGGAUUUAAGUGGAUGUUGUCCCUACUGUCCUAGAUGCCUGGGAUUUAAGUAGAUGAUUUCCCUACUGUCCCGGAGGUUGUUCGUCCCCAAGUAAGGUGGAGGGCGACGACCCACCUUCUUGGAUGCCUAGGAUUUAAGUAGAUGAUGUCCCUACUG
This 1967-nucleotide long non-coding RNA is filed under the name Daucus carota (carrot). RNAcentral's name for it is "long non-coding RNA (DCAR_LNC005971)". The record is from RNAcentral. Lineage: Eukaryota; Viridiplantae; Streptophyta; Magnoliopsida; Apiales; Apiaceae.